UUCAUAACACACCCUCUUUGUCUCUCUACCUCACGGCAGCCCCAAACACCCUCACUUCUUUCUUUUUCAUUUACUAAACUCACCAAUUUAAGCUUUGUUAAGCCAUUUUAAGAAGGUCUAACGUGCUUGCAUACAUGAAGCACCAUUAGAGAUCAUUUGGGAGCUUUCAAGCCUUCUUAAUCUUCAUCAUAAGGUCCAUAAAUCUUUGCAAAGUUAGUGUUUACAAAGAUGAUCUUGUGUUAUUACGCGCUAAUUGGAUACCCGAACUGCUAGCAUACAUACGGACGCAAACUUGUAACUAAGUGGAUCUUGGUGCAACGAAUUAUGAAGUUUCAAGUUUACUAUGAAGUCGAUGUCAUCCGUAUUUUGGAGGGUUUGAUCCAUAUAUUCCGUCUUCGAACGGGACAUAGGAUGCAAAACCUCGUUAUUUCAAAAACUUUAUUUUGAACAAGUCUUGUUUGUAAAACUUAUAAACUUAUGUCGUCUUUUGCUACAAAACAACUUAUGACUUGUAUCUUUACAUUAUGGAAUGGAUGAACAUCGUGUAUGUUUUAU
RNAcentral lists this long non-coding RNA (555 nucleotides) under Helianthus annuus (common sunflower). Its description in RNAcentral is "sRNA HanXRQr2_Chr13g0566971". Lineage: Eukaryota; Viridiplantae; Streptophyta; Magnoliopsida; Asterales; Asteraceae. The record is from RNAcentral.